This is a ribosomal RNA of Otolemur garnettii (small-eared galago), 112 nucleotides long. The record is from Ensembl. Lineage: Eukaryota; Metazoa; Chordata; Mammalia; Primates; Galagidae.
AGCUAUGGCCAUACCAACCUGAAAGUGCCCCAUCUUGUCUGAUCUUGGAAGGUAAGCAGGAUGGGGCCUGGUUAGUACUCGGAUGGGAGAAAACACACAUGUGAUGCAUUUA